GAUGAACGCUGGCGGCGUGCCUAAUACAUGCAAGUCGAGCGAACAGAUGAGGAGCUUGCUCCUCUGACGUUAGCGGCGGACGGGUGAGUAACACGUGGAUAACCUACCUAUAAGACUGGGAUAACUUCGGGAAACCGGAGCUAAUACCGGAUAAUAUAUUGAACCGCAUGGUUCAAUAGUGAAAGACGGUUUUGCUGUCACUUAUAGAUGGAUCCGCGCCGCAUUAGCUAGUUGGUAAGGUAACGGCUUACCAAGGCAACGAUGCGUAGCCGACCUGAGAGGGUGAUCGGCCACACUGGAACUGAGACACGGUCCAGACUCCUACGGGAGGCAGCAGUAGGGAAUCUUCCGCAAUGGGCGAAAGCCUGACGGAGCAACGCCGCGUGAGUGAUGAAGGUCUUCGGAUCGUAAAUCUCUGUUAUUAGGGAAGAACAAAUGUGUAAGUAACUAUGCACGUCUUGACGGUACCUAAUCAGAAAGCCACGGCUAACUACGUG
RNAcentral lists this ribosomal RNA (497 nucleotides) under uncultured bacterium. RNAcentral describes it as "partial 16S ribosomal RNA". It matches the Rfam family "Bacterial small subunit ribosomal RNA", at positions 28 to 507 of the family's 1533-position model. The record is from RNAcentral.